Poecile atricapillus (Black-capped chickadee) is the source of this 7503-nucleotide long non-coding RNA. RefSeq lists it as uncharacterized. NCBI's taxonomy places the organism in Eukaryota, Metazoa, Chordata, Aves, Passeriformes, Paridae. The transcript is spliced from 5 exons. The record is from RefSeq and is a predicted model, not a curated record.
CCGGAAUAAAUGGGAUGCCCAGUGCUUAAGAGAAAAUAAUACCAGUCUAUAUGCAAGGGGAAAGGCAAGAUCCUGAAAACCUAAAAGGACUCAGAUGAAUGUUGAAGAAUGGGGAAAAAAACUUAGGGGAAAGCCACUCUCUUCCACUGGCCUGCUGACUACAGAGGGAGCCCAGGGUGACCACCUGGCUGGUUUAACUGCUCAUCAAUGAAUCACAAUGCUGCACGGAACUAGUAACUUUCCUUAAAGGACCCCCUCUAAAAUCUGUUCAGGUUUCAGAAACUCAGUGACCAUACUUUGAUGACAAGCCAGAUGGCAGCUGUUCCCCAAGCCUGGUGCCAAGAAAGAUGAUUGGAGCUGCAAUUUACCUUCCGUGGUGAAGCUCAAUGCUGGAGCAUACCACAGCUGCGGAUUUGGCUGCUGCCAGUAGGUGUGUGCACAGUUGGUUUCCUCCCAAUUUGGAUUCAUCAGGGACCAGUGGUCUGGCUUGGAAAACUACUUCUUAGUGUUUCAGUAUGUUCACAAAUUUCCUUAAGAGAAGGUGUGUGAAGGUGAUGAGGACAGAUCCUUUUGGAGCUGCUCAGCGCUGGGGAAGGCAUGCAGACAGCAGAAAAGCCAUUUGCUGGGAUAACAGCUGUUCCAGAUGUGUGAAAAGCCCAACAUGCAUAGAAAAAUAUGAAGCAGAACUUUGGCAGUGGACAGUUACAAGAGGAGAGUAUGUUGUUGAAGUAAAAUAUAACUUGUUUCUACUGGAAUUACUUAAUUGAAGGCACAAUUAUACAUUUGAGGGAGGGAAGAUCAGUGGGCUGAGGGAUAAUACACUGAGAGACAAGCUGAAACUCUGAGAUUGAGAAUGUUUUAUUAUGUCCCUGUCUGGUUUUAAGGACAAAUCCCUAUGACCUCCUUCCCUUCUUGGACUGAAAGAUUUUAGGAGCAAAAAACUUAGUUGUCCAGCACCUAAAAAAAUGGGCUCAUGGUGCGGGAUGGGGGCUCUCAUAAAUCUAAGCUUGUAGUGCUGCCUAGCAAGAAACUCCUGUAAUAAUGCAAUUUUCUCCUUUCUUCACACAUGAUUACUUAGAGACAAGAGGAUAGUGAGGAGGUAAGUCUUCCUCCCUGCUGCCCUGUGGGAGCAGCACAGCAGAUCUUUGCCAGACUGAUAGGAUGCUGAGGGGAAGAAAAUGGGCUGAACUAGGGAAGAGGAGAGUCCUGUUGGGAGCCAUCUCAUCAGAGACUGUUGACUGGGACUGUGAUGCUCCCUGUUUUCCAUCUCACACGGAGAGUGAGGUUGAGGUCUUGCCUUUUCAAUUUGCUGAUACAUAACAAUACUUUGCAAAGUAAAAUACCACCUACAACAUAAAGAAGAAGCGGGUCUAGAAAGAGCAAAACUUUCAUGUUCAACACUUUCAACACUUUCAACACUCACUUUCUUCUGGACCUCUUCUUUUGGGAUCUUUGGAUUUUGGAGGUAUAAUUGGUAUUUUUUGGUGCACUCUGGGAAGGACAAGGAAUAUUUCUUUUCAGCCAUUUUCUUACAGUUUCCCCCAGUUUCACAUGCAUAAAUACAAAUGCUAAAGGGAGAUCAGUUCAAGACUUUACAUUCCUCUAUAAGCAAGUUACCCACAUACAGUUUUAUCAAUGGUAUUUUAGCACCAAUAAUUUAUAUGGACACACACACCAAAUGCAGGUGGCAGCCAAUCAGAAUAACAGCAAACUGAAGUCCCAUUUGCAAGAUAAAGAUAAAGAAUUCUACUAAGAAUUUGGGAAAGGUUUCAGGGAGAGAAUACAAGAGAGUGUAGCUUUUCUAAAGGCAUUUUUAGUUGUCAUUAAACACAGUCAGGGUUUCCAAAGCUAUAAUACAUGUUAACACAUUCCAAAACACUUCUAAUAGAAUAUUUUUUCAGUACUUCAGUACAGCAAAUGAUGCAAAGCCAAAAUUCCCCAGACAAUGCACAGAACAUUAGAGAAUUAGUUUAACAUUCUUACAACCCUGCAAUUUUAUUUAAACAAAUUCUUCCCUACCCAAUUCCCUGCAGAGAAGUAUUGUACCCUUUUGUUGAUUGUAGUGGACAUAUUGCAGAUCUCCGAUUACCUUCCCAAAGGACCACCCACAACAAGAAGUUUUUUGUGUUGCAAGCACAGCUUAGUUCAUUCCCUCCUGGUCACCUUUUUUUUCUUUUCUUCUUGUUUUUUCUUUUUUUCCCCCUCAGUUUUAAUUUUCUUAACAUUCUUAUAGGCUGUGGAUGAACUGACAGACUAGCCUGCCAUCUGUUCUUUCAUGACAUGGUGCAACCUAAUCAAUUUUCCCCAAACCACUUUGGAGUAAAUAACAUGUCUACAAUAAUAAUAAUUAGUCAGUUAAAAAGAAAACAGCAUCAUGCAACUCCUGGUGGGAAUUAGGUAGAUUUCAGAACACAGCAUUUUAUUAACUGAGAUUUUCAGACCAAGGGAAGAUAACUUUGGAAGGAAAAAAAAUCACCUUCAGUAAUUUCUUCUGAAACUUGAGUAUAAGACAGUAUCCCUAGACUUUGGACAUCAGAUUCAAGUAAAUGUGCCACUUAUGAGUUUCUAAGAUUUUGCUGUUAAUAUAUGUGUUAGAAUAAGCCUAAGCAUUUGUAUUAGUAUAGAAACCCUAUUAAAAUCAUAAGGAGUAUUUUAAAAAAUCACCCAAUGACAAGCAGAUUACAUUAUUAUAGUAUUAUAUUCCUCAAACACAAGGAGAAAAUUGCAUUUACAGGAGUUUCUUGCUAAGCAGCACUAUAAGCUUAGAUUUAUGAGAGCCCAAUCCUGUAUCAUGAGGCCUGCCAUCUUCAGGGAGAGAUUUGUCUUCAGCAACCAUCACAAGUAAAAAUCUGUGGAUUACAUGACACAUGCACCCACUUGAAGAACAGGCAAAAUGCAGAAACACAAACUGCUACAGACAGAAAAUAGGUUUGCAAUAAGUGAAAGGACUUCAGAAUUUCAGGAAGACUGCAGUUAUAUAGUGGAUAUCAAGAUCCCAUUGAAGUUAAUUAUUCCUUAUGAAGUUAAUCUUAACAUCGUUUUUCACAAUGCAACUGUUUGCUAUUUUAACCCUUUGACAUUGAUUUAGACAGAAUACACUAGAAACUAUUCUACCUAAUCAAUUGAUCAACAUUUAAAAUACAUCUUAGUACUUGAGUGCUUAGCACAUUCUCAGUAUUUUCACUUUUGCAGUAUGAUGGAAGCAACAGAUAAAUCAGAAAGAUUCAAUGAUCCAGUGAGCUAAUCAGCAAAUUGCCAACUAAAAUUUCAGUCGAGGAGUCAGUGCAAUCUCAGUGAAGAGAUCACACUGAUGGAUCAGAAGGAAGAAUUCACUCUUUACUGUCUUUACAUUGAAUAUUAAAGUAUUGAUAUUGUGUGUAUUCUAUGGGCUGUGUUGAAAGACGACAAUAAUUUUGUAGCUGUGCUACCAAAUGAUAUUUCUGCCAUGUUUUUAAGUAUUAAGAACAUGGCAAUACAUAAAAUAACUCCAAGCUGACAAGUGCUGUCCCAGAUCUUUUCUAAAUGGUCAAAACUUCUCAUCCUUGAACCAGGUGCCUUUAACCUUCUCCUGGAAAGCCAAUGCAAUUUUACCAGUAAGUUAGAAAACAACAUAUCAAUGUAAAUCUGGACAUUUUUCCCAAAACUGCCUGAUCAGCCUGAGACAAUGUAGACUAUCUCCUGUGAAAUAAGAACCAAGAAGAAUUGUAUAAAACAUCUUAGAGGCUUUGACAUAUAUAAAUAUCAGACCACCUACCAUAGCAUAUCAUAAUCUAAGUAACUCUAAGUGAGAAUACUGAGCACAUUGGAUAUAUGUGUUUGCUCUCAUGCUGCCUCAUCUACCAAAGAAAGUAUCCAUAAAAUUCCAUGGCAGCAAGGAAUCUCACACUUUAUGAUGCAGUCCUUCACAGGCUAGAUUUUGUCUGUUCUUGCACACAGAUGGUGAGGUGUGAGGCAGACUCGAGCUCACACACAUGUGGCCUUGUUGCGGCUUCUCAGAAGAUAAACAAUUAGGUGGGAUCAGAGAGCGAGAGAGUGAAGAGAAGUCUCUGCCAUGACGCAGGCCAGUGAAGAUAAAGCAAUGAACCACGGAUGAUCUUCACUGGUCCGUCCAUGACUGCUCUGCUGUGAUUUCUGUGACAAGUAUGUACCAACAUAUUUGCCUGUUUAGGUUCUCGUACCACUCCUCCUCCUGAAGAAGCCAAAUGCUUCUGGCAUCCUGACAAUUAUGUUUCACUUCCAAUUUUCUAGGUCCUUCAAAAGAGCAUUCACCUUUCUGUUGCAGCUGCUGACCUCUUGCUUCUGCCUGUUUCUCCAUGUUUUACCAUCUACUUCAGAAAGGGGCUAGCAAUUAUGUGCCUGAUGUUUCCCUAACCUUGACCACCUUGAAAUGUGAUUUUGUGAUUUUUGUUGAAAUAUAGGACAUGGAUCCCUUGCAGGCUUUUACAAACAUGAGAGUUCCCAUGUGUCGUUGACACUGAUGAAUUGCUAGAUCACUACAGAACAACUUGGAAAUGGCAACGAAGCUGGCUCCACUGCAGCUAACUUGAGCUCCUGAGAGGGACCAGAGGGGUUUUUUGAUUCUUUUUAUUAUGUGAUAUCAAUUAAGCAUUUAACAAGUUACAAUAAAAAGCAACUUUCCAAUGGAAUUUUUAAUGCAAUGAAAACAAAUUACCUUCAAGAUGGUUAUCAUUUGGAAUCUUGAAGAGAAUGAAAAUAAGGCAAAUGCCAACACAUAUUCAUCCAGAUUGCCCAUAACAACUUGCCAGGCAUCCCUGUUUCAAAUCAAGUAAAUCUGUGCAGCUUCUCUUUGACAGCAACACAAAAUCCCUUGUGAAAUGCAUUGAAUGGCACAGCUGAGGCAGAAUGUUAGCAGAAGAUACUGCGCCAAACAGCUUUUGUUUUGAAGUGGGUACUUCUGUUAUGCAAUCCUCUUAGAAUUUGCUUCUUUCAAAGAAUGAAAGACAAAAAAAAAAUAGCCUCAGCAAACAAAAACCACAAAUCCCAUACAUUUCUUAACUUGGUUGAUGUUUCUCCACUUGGACACAGUAUAUUCGCAGCAAUUCCAAAAUUCUGGCAUUGUCACAUACUAUAUUUGUGUCACUCAGGACAAAAAAGACACAUAAAGGACCAAACAGUGCAUGAUGGCUGGGAUGAAGGUGUUUAGUGGAAGAGUGAGGCUUCAACUCUCUCAACAAGAAACAUAAACAGAAAAUAGAAGUGGAAUUCACUAAUAUCAACAAUGUGCUAAAUAAGCCCAUGAGCAACUUUAACAACUCACUUUAAUUCUGAGAUUUUCUGUAGUCACAAGGAAGAUGAGACUAUGGACAGAACUUUCUUAAUAUGGAAACAUUAAUUUAUAAACUUAAGAUCUUGUCCAUGUAAUUUUGCAUAUAUCCAAAAUAAGGAAACCUAAACUUAAUAUUGAAAACUUCUGAGCCCUUCAUCAAAGACUCACUUUAUCAACAGGUAUGAGGGAGAGUGCAGGUGGUUAACUCCCCGUACCAUUUCUCACAAAAAAGCACUCUCAAAUCCACAAAUGCACUCUCAGGCUGUGGGGAUGAAUACCAUAUUUUGCCCUUUCCCUGCUUCUUUGCCGUAGUGAGAAGUGGGGAAGGAGGCACAGAGUGGAGACAAGACGAGGUGUGGACUGUGUUUCCUGUCCGUGAGGCACACCCAGCCAAACAGAUCAUGUGUGAAGGCAAAGAAUUGCUCUGAAGAGUGGUCUGGGCUCUGCAGGCCACCUGUUCUGGAGGGAGAAGCUGUCCCUCACUGAGCUCUCCCACAUUUGUACAACAUCUGACACUACACUUUUGCAAGCUCACUCUACACAUGGUUUCUCACCAGUGUACACAAUGUUACAGGCACCAUUCCUCCUCCCCCAAACAAGAGGAUCCUUUCAUUUCACUUAGGCACAUUGUCACGGCUGCAGACUCUCACAGCUUAUUUAUGGUGUGAUGUGAAUAUGCACAGCACUUCUAGAGAUGCGUUGCUGUCUUUGAAGUACAGGCAGAGAAUUAUCAUCUUUGUCGUCUCCCAUGACCAAUGCUGCCUCCACACUGCUCAUUUUUUUGGAGAUUACUUAUUGUGUGCCAAAUAUGCCACAGAGCAAGAAUAUGCUUGGUGCUUCCCCAAGACAUGUUAGCAACAUUAGUAUCUUUCAUCUUCUCUGACCUUUUCCCUGAUGUUCUCAGAAGCUCAGAAAGUCUCAUGACAAUAUGGAAAAAAACCCUCCCAUGCUCCCAUGCACAUAUGUGGGCUUUCUCUUCUGUUGCACUCAAGUUCAGUUAGAUGUUCUUCAGCCUUUGAUCUUCUUUAAUCAGAAGGAAGGAGGCUGAGGAAGGAGAAUAUGAGCUUUCUUUCAUGCUUGUUUUAAUUCUUAGGUCCAAUAAAGAGGACAGAAUGAGGAUGGUCAGGGAAUUAAAGGGAAUCAAAUAAAUGACUGAGAGGAGUCUGCACCCUGCCAGCUAUCCUGAGCUUUGCCCCUCACUCACGCAGCUAAGCUUUGGGGAGGGAGGGAUUCUCUGUUAACAGGGGUUAGUGUCUUUACUCCCCCACCCCCUUCUCUACCACCUCAUGCUCAUCUUUAUUAGCUUUUUCACACUACACAGUCCUCUCAUCGAUUACAAGGGCCAGCACAAAGCAGCCUAAUGAUGGGUCAGUCUUAAUGAGAAAAGCGGCUGCUCUUGAAGUGGUGUGGCUUCGUCCUGCACCCUGCAGAGUCCUGGCACGCAGAGCUUUGCCUCCUUUUAGAGAGCAGAGCCAUGGAAAAUCAACAGUGAGCAGCCUGGUGCCUCUGAACAGAAAGGGCCAUGUGCAUGGCUAUUUAGUGCUGUAAAAGAGAGAGCAUUUGCACAAACGGGAGUGAACAUAAGGAGGCCUUCAGAGAAGAAUGGGGCCUUGGCAAAUUUAUAGACUCCCCUGAAAGAAAGUGAUUACAGAUCAUUAUCCAAUUGAGGCAGAUUGAUGGGUUAGGGUCAAAGUAAUACUGCAGAGCUCACUGGAGGGACAAUGACUGCUUGUCAGUUCUGUCCAGGAAAAGAAAGAGAAGGGAAACUACCACACAGAGAGGAAAGGCUUAAGCUUUUCCAGCCCCUAUCUGAAAAAUAGUUUCUUAUCUUGAACAUGCAUCCUUUAAAAAAAACCACAAAACAAAAAUCAAGGAAAAAACAAACCCCGAAACUGCAGGACCAGUAUCACUGACUUAAAACUGCGCAUCCAGAAUUGCAAAGUAUUUGUGUGAAUAGUGUGCGAACAGCACUCACCCAAAGCCUUGUGACCAGUACUCUCAGAAAUCACAAUGAGUACUAGCACUAGUAAGGGAUAAAUUGCAUCUGUUUCAUUUAUAUUAAAAAAACCAAGGAGAUCUUCUGAAAUAAAUGUGUAUAUUUUUUUUAAAUUUGGUGAAAGAAGGACAUUUUGUUAACAGCUAUGGUUGAACAGAUUUGAAACUCUGUAACAUCUGGUCAGACAAAACUCGGCAACACUGACAUUGAAUAAAACAAG